Molecule: ribosomal RNA, 497 nt
Filed under: uncultured bacterium
Lineage: Bacteria
Description: partial 16S ribosomal RNA
Rfam family: Bacterial small subunit ribosomal RNA
Source: RNAcentral
GAUGAACGCUGGCGGCGUACCUAAUACAUGCAAGUCGAGCGAACGGACGAGAAGCUUGCUUCUCUGAUGUUAGCGGCGGACGGGUGAGUAACACGUGGAUAACCUACCUAUAAGACUGGGAUAACUUCGGGAAACCGGAGCUAAUACCGGAUAAUAUUUUGAACCGCAUGGUUCAAAAGUGAAAGACGGUCUUGCUGUCACUUAUAGAUGGAUCCGCGCUGCAUUAGCUAGUUGGUAAGGUAACGGCUUACCAAGGCAACGAUGCAUAGCCGACCUGAGAGGGUGAUCGGCCACACUGGAACUGAGACACGGUCCAGACUCCUACGGGAGGCAGCAGUAGGGAAUCUUCCGCAAUGGGCGAAAGCCUGACGGAGCAACGCCGCGUGAGUGAUGAAGGUCUUCGGAUCGUAAAACUCUGUUAUUAGGGAAGAACAUAUGUGUAAGCAACUGUGCACAUCUUGACGGUACCUAAUCAGAAAGCCACGGCUAACUACGUG